UUUCCGUAGGUGAACCUGCGGAAGGAUCAUUAUUGAAUGAAACACUUCUGGCUUUAUGCUGUUGUGCUGGCCCUUUGGGCAAUGUGCACACGGCUCUGGUCACUUGUUUCUUCUGUUCCACCUGUGCACUGCCUGUAGACACGCUGUGUCUAUGAUAUUUGUUAACACACAACAAUGUUAGUUGGCAUGUUAUAUAUAAUAACAAAAUAUACAACUUUCAACAACGGAUCUCUUGGCUCUC
RNAcentral lists this unclassified non-coding RNA (241 nucleotides) under plant metagenome. RNAcentral describes it as "partial contains small subunit ribosomal RNA, internal transcribed spacer 1, and 5.8S ribosomal RNA". The record is from RNAcentral.